RNAcentral lists this long non-coding RNA (1957 nucleotides) under Oncorhynchus kisutch (coho salmon). Its description in RNAcentral is "lncRNA (ENSOKIG00005031272.1)". The record is from RNAcentral. Lineage: Eukaryota; Metazoa; Chordata; Actinopteri; Salmoniformes; Salmonidae.
AUUUCCUAACUGAAUGUGACAUUUGUCCAUAUGCUUGCACAUAUAGUUGACAUGUAUUAAUAACACCACUGAGGUUGUAAACGUUAGGUCUAUGGGUCAUUGUGAUCAUGGUGUCUUUAAAAUUGGACCAUUCUCUCCAAUAAGAAUCUCAUGCAAAUGGACAGAACAAUGUUACAGAAAAAACUAUACUAAGAGACAUGUAUAGCCUAGUGUAGGUCUAGCCUACUGAUAAGGUCCGCAUUUUUACAACUAAAGCUACUGGCUACCAUUUAUUAUCUCAUUCUAAAAUACAUCCUCUACAGGACUUUUGUUGUGAAAGAUGGGUUUUUAUGUCUCUCCUUCGUAAGGUGACGUCACGCUCAUGAAAUUGACAGGCCACCUGUGGGGACGAAUCGGGAUUUAAAUGGAUAUGGCCAUCAUAAAAACUGUAGGUUGUGAUACGGCACAUGGCAGAAAGAUGCACAGUCAAUACUUUCGAUUCCAGUUCCAGAGGCGGCGCAGACAGCAUCUGCAAGAUGUAUACGUGGGACGACUGGUCAAACCGCAAUAGUUCAUGUCGGGAGGGAUGCUGAUCAUAUCAACAGGUAGAACGCAGCGAGCACAACUUGUUGGAAUUAUUUCUGAGGGUGUCUAUAGCAUAAACUGUUCCUGUAGAUUCGUAAUGUUCCUGUGAUAGCCUAUAUAAUCAGUGAAAUCUAAGCUUUAUAUUUUCGCAUAAUGUGAACAAUAACCUAUUGUACGAUUUUUAGUAGGCUAGCCUACAUAUGCCCUUUAACCUCCCCAUUACAAAUGAUUUAUUCGACUAUAAAAACAGAAGGUCAGAGAAAAUCUGCACUUUGUUACUGUGUAAUAGCCCCUAAGCAAAGUUCAAAGUGACAUUUUUCUGGUUUCUCUCCGGCAGUUAGAAGAAGACCGAAGGCUUGCGAAAAGGUUAUAUUGAUUAUAGGAAAGACCCCCGCAAAGAAAGAUAAUGUCCCUGUGGUUGUGUUUACAUAAUGGCUAUAAUUAGAUUUGAAGAGCUCUUUAUUACAGUUAUCCCUGACAAAUCCAUAUCAGCCAGUUGGCUAUGUCCUCGUAUUUACUGUUAUAGUAGCCUACAAUACUUUUGUUUAAGGGUGACUGGCGAAUUGGAUGGGUAAAAUAAGACAACGUUUAUCGUUCUAUUUUAGGCCUACUUUAGACUCAUAUGGGAACACAUGCUCCCGUGUAGCUUCGACCAUAAGCAAUUGUCACUUCAGUUUGAUGGUUUAAAUAAUGACUAAUUCUCAAUUUUUGAAUUGAAUAAUUAUUUUACUAUAAUGUCAUGCAACACGUAGUUGUGAACUCGUUUUGUAGCCUUGUAAUAGCAAUGACCAUAGCCAAGUAGUAAGUUAUGCUGGUGAUGACCUCUGGAAGCAUAUAGAAAUACUAUGUUUUUAAAAGACAAUAAUAAGUUAAUUACUUUAUACUGGUCAACCUUGGAAAUCAAGCAAAUAUAAAAGCUUACUCACAUUUCUGGAACAAAUAUAACACAAAAAUCACGUGCUUUACUAUUCAGCGUGAGGUGACUUGUUAAAAACCUGUUCACUAAUCAUUUCAGCACCACCGGGGUGACCAGCUCCAAUGUCGAGUAAUAGGCUGUGCGGGACACGUUCCCGCUCAAGUCUAAUCAUUUUCAGCACCGCUGUUUUGUCCAAAUAAUCGGGGGCAUUUUAGUCGAAUGGAAGAUUUAUUUUCAACAACAAGUGUUACCUAAGCAUAAUCAAAUGUCACCAUUCACCUGUUAGGCCUAUAUGUUUUAUGAUACUAACUAGGCUACAGUGUACGUCCUAAUUGUAACUAAUAGUCUUAGAAUGUUUUAUAAAAAUACUUCAUAUUUAGAGACGCUCCUUAUAUCUUAUACCUACGAUUUGUGCAAUGUAGCCUUAUUACAACUCUCACAUACUUCUGCGCUGUGUCUAUGCUGAACAGGCUGGCU